This 460-nucleotide ribosomal RNA is filed under the name uncultured bacterium. RNAcentral describes it as "partial 16S ribosomal RNA". It matches the Rfam family "Bacterial small subunit ribosomal RNA", at positions 338 to 795 of the family's 1533-position model. The record is from RNAcentral.
CCUACGGGUGACAGCAGUGAGGAAUAUUGGUCAAUGGGCGCGAGCCUGAACCAGCCAAGUAGCGUGAAGGAUGACUGCCCUACGGGUUGUAAACUUCUUUUAUAAAGGAAUACAGUGAGGCACGUGUGCCUUUUUGUAUGUACUUUAUGAGUAAGGAUCGGCAAACUCCGUGCCAGCAGCCGCGGUAAUACGUAGGAGGCAAGCGUUAUCCGGAAUGACUGGGCGUAAAGGGAGCGUAGGUGGUUUGACAAGUUGGUAGCGUAACUCCGGGGCUCAACGUCGGCACUACCACCAAAACUGUCGGACUUGAGUGCAGGAGGGGCAAAUGGAAUUCCUAGUGUAGGAGUGGAAUGCGUAGAUAUUAGGAGGAACACCAGUGGCGAAGGCGAUUUGCUGGACUGUAACUGACACUGAGGCACGAAAGCGUGGGGAGCAAACAGGAUUAGAUACCCUAGUAGUC